Molecule: long non-coding RNA, 431 nt
Filed under: Homo sapiens (human)
Lineage: Eukaryota; Metazoa; Chordata; Mammalia; Primates; Hominidae
Description: HSALNT0143356
Source: RNAcentral
GCGCAAAUGAUUUGUUUAGCCAGAGACUAGCUUGUCAGGAAGCUGUGCUGUAAUAUGGUGCACAGAAAAAUCUGUGUAUCGUUACCUUCCAACAGGUUGUCAAAAAUCAGCAGGCUGAGGGAGUUUUCAACAAAGGGUUAUAGCUACUCUUACAGAAGACAUAAGAAGAUAUAUACGCAGAGAAGACAUCAUAAGACCUGAAGAUGAAAAACUUCUGAUCACAGAAGAAAGAUAUACAACAGCCUUGAAGCAUUCUGAGAACCCAGUGAAGGCAAUAAUGUCUCUUCCCAGAGAAAUUCACAGAUUGCUUUCUCAUUGUUGGACAUUUAUGGUCAUGACCCCAGCUUUUCUCUUCCUUGUGCAAGAAAGAUGACAUGUUUUCUACUGCCGCUUCAGCCACCUACAAAAUGUCAUGACUAGGGCCCACCCUC